Long non-coding RNA from Sardina pilchardus (European sardine), 251 nucleotides. RefSeq lists it as uncharacterized. The record is from RefSeq and is a predicted model, not a curated record. Lineage: Eukaryota; Metazoa; Chordata; Actinopteri; Clupeiformes; Clupeidae. The transcript is spliced from 3 exons.
AGACAGCAGACAGUCAGAACUCCGCUGCGUCCAGUCCUGGUCCAAAUGAUGGGAUAAAGACCUGCGCCAUAUGGCCAGGCCGUCUCAGAGCCACAGAUUUCAGGAGCAUCGGCAAAGCUUCCUCCAAGCUGGAAGAGAUGGACGUAUUGUACUGUAUUUCCAUCCAUCUCUCUGGAAAGCUGGAGCGCGAGAUGAUUUAUACGUUCGAUAUGUGAUGCGUCUUUUUCCUCGCUCAAAGCGUAAGUCAUUAG